Sparus aurata (gilthead seabream) is the source of this 1564-nucleotide long non-coding RNA. The record is from Ensembl. NCBI's taxonomy places the organism in Eukaryota, Metazoa, Chordata, Actinopteri, Spariformes, Sparidae.
AAAUAUCUGACUCAAGACUGAAACAGUCUCAGGAAUCUCUCCACAGACAACACGACUGAGAGCACAAUCUCAUUUAAGAUUCUUCAACAGACACAUCAAAAUAAAACCGACAUGAAUGUCAAAUUAAAUCAUCUAAAACAGACAGAAUAACUGUCUUAAGACAUUAAAACCAUCAGAUAUGUCAAUCUGAAGGCGGAAACAUCAUCAAACAAGGGACCAUGAAACAUGACGAGAUAUCAAAUGGAGAGAAUAUUAGAAAUAGGAGCAAAAGAAGGAAAAAGUAAUCAGAAAUGAUCAGAAAUGAUCAGAAAUGAUCAGAACGUCGAACUCGACCGACAAACAGCAGCGAGAAUAUUCUCCCCCGUGUGUCUCUAACGAGCAGCUUCACUCUUGUGUUGAAAUAAAAGGUUUGUGAGACAGAAUAUGAAGCAACCUUUUCUCCUGCUGUCACACUGCAGUGGGCCUCAGUGUGUGUGUGUGUGUGUGUGUGUGUGUCUGUGUGUGUGUGUGUGUGUGACAGAUAUUACCAUAUCAAUGGUUUCCUUCUGAUAGCUUCCUCCCACUUCUUCUCUCCCUUUCUGUUGGGACGUAAUUGUGGCUGAUUAUCAGAGGAGCACUGCUAUCAACACACACACACACACACACACACACACACCUACACACACACACACACCUACACACACACACACUACACACACACCUACACCUACACACACACACACCUACACACCUACACACACACCUACACACACACACACACACACCUACACACACACAGGUGAUUUGAAUCAGAGCAGGUGAGUGUUGAAGCAUCACAGGAGAUCGUCCGUCGAGGAGAGAAAAUAAAUCGGUUCGCUGAGCGGAGAAAAGUGAAAAGAAGCAGGAGACAGAAGACAGAGAAUGAUGGAAGGCAAGAAGAGAAAGGAGAAGAAGAAGCGGAUUCUGGAAGGUGAUGCAUCAAAGUGCUCGAAAGUUGGUGGUGGGCCGGUGCGGUCAGAAUUUUCCCGGUGGAUUUUGGUGCCCCACUCCGCCCCUGUUGUGAAAACAAAAGUCAGGAGCAGUGCUGCAGAGAGUGACAUCCCAUAAUAACCACCACACUGAAGGAUAGAAGCAGAAGAAGACGCAGAAGACAAGAAGAAGAAGUAGAAGAAGACGCAGAAGAAGUAGAAGAAGAAGAAGAAGAAGUAGAAGAAGAAAUCUUUGGUUGACCGACAACUGACAGGUUUUUAUCACUGACUCACACAAUUAGCAUCAGUUAGCAUGUUGUGGAUGUUAGCAGCAGCUAAUCUCUGCCUCUGUGUUUGUCAUUCUAACACGUCAGAGCCACAAUCAACACGGCUGAGAAUAACAAGCUGCGGCUGAAUGUUUUGUGUUCUGACGUUCGUUAAUAGGACAGAUUCAUUAGUGUGAGUUUGUCGACUCUCAGGUGUCAGAACAGAGUCAAUUAAAAGUGUCUGUCACACUCACACAGUCACAUGUAGACCUCAGCACCACGAUGCCACUGUGACAGACACACUGCACCAUCACCAACACACACUGUGAGGAGGAGGAGGAGGAGGCGGGA